CCUACGGGUGGCAGCAGUGGGGGAUAUUGCACAAUGGGGGGAACCCUGAUGCAGCGACGCCGCGUGGGUGAAGGAGCGUUUCGGCGCGUAAAGCCCUAUCGGCAGGGAAGAAGGAGGACGGUACCUGACUAAGAAGCCCCGGCUAACUACGUGCCAGCAGCCGCGGUAAUACGUAGGAUGCGAGCGUUAUCCGGAUUUAUUGGGUUUAAAGGGUGCGUAGGCGGGCUGUUAAGUCAGCGGUAAAAGCCCGGGGCUCAACCCCGGCGAGCCGUUGAAACUGGCUGUCUUGAGAUGUCGAGAGGUAUGCGGAAUGCGCAGUGUAGCGGUGAAAUGCUUAGAUAUUGCGCAGAACUCCGAUUGCGAAGGCAGCAUACCGGCGGCGAUCUGACGCUGAGGCACGAAAGCGUGGGUAUCGAACAGGAUUAGAUACCCUUGUAGUC
This 440-nucleotide ribosomal RNA is filed under the name uncultured bacterium. RNAcentral describes it as "partial 16S ribosomal RNA". It matches the Rfam family "Bacterial small subunit ribosomal RNA", at positions 338 to 795 of the family's 1533-position model. The record is from RNAcentral.